ACGUAGGGACCAAGCGUUGUUCGGAUUUACUGGGCGUAAAGGGCGCGUAGGCGGCAAUUCAAGUCAUCUGUGAAAUCUUCGGGCUUAACUCGGAACUGCCAAGUGAUACUGCUGUGCUAGAGUGCAGAAAGGGCAAUCGGAAUUCUUGGUGUAGCGGUGAAAUGCGUAGAUAUCAAGAGGAACACCUGAGGCGAAGGCGGGUUGCUAGGCUGACACUGACGCUGAUGCGCGAAAGCCAGGGGAGCAAACGGGA
Molecule: ribosomal RNA, 253 nt
Filed under: uncultured prokaryote
Description: partial 16S ribosomal RNA
Rfam family: Bacterial small subunit ribosomal RNA
Source: RNAcentral